UGGUGGUUUUAUUCGAGAAAGAGAAAGAGGAAGAAAAGUUAGCAAAGGAAAUAAAAGAAGAUAACAAGAUUGAAAAGUGUCAAAAUCGUGAAAGAGAAAUCAUCGCACCGAUGAUGGGAUAUAUUAUGGGUUGCACGUGUUUCAAAGGUACCAACCUCUUGCCAUUUUUCCAAGGUACGUGUGUGUCAUACGAGUCUCUCGGAAUAUCGCAUGGCAUCUUCCAUUUUCUUUUCUUAAAAGCAUCGAAGAUUCCUCCGUA
Polistes canadensis is the source of this 259-nucleotide long non-coding RNA. RefSeq lists it as uncharacterized. The transcript is spliced from 3 exons. NCBI's taxonomy places the organism in Eukaryota, Metazoa, Arthropoda, Insecta, Hymenoptera, Vespidae. The record is from RefSeq and is a predicted model, not a curated record.